GCUAGAAAGGGUUCCUCCAGAGCUGGCACAGAUGGCCUCGUUAGAGCAGCUUUACCUCCGACACAACAAGCUCCGCUGCCUCCCAGAACUCCCAGCCUGUAAACUGCUCAAGGAGCUCCAGGCGGGCAAUAAUCAAAUUGAGCUUCUGGGACCAGAGCAUUUGAAGCACCUGAAUGCUAUCAGUGUCUUAGAGCUGAGCGAGAACAAGCUGAAAUCACUGCCUGAUGAAAUCACUGCAGGGCCUUGAAAGGCUCACCAACAAUGACAUCAGCAGGUUUUGUGACAGUAUUGAAAGGAUAACCUGCAGUGUAACUGGCGUUUCGACACUGCUAAGUUGGAUU
Acipenser ruthenus (sterlet) is the source of this 341-nucleotide long non-coding RNA. RefSeq lists it as uncharacterized. The record is from RefSeq and is a predicted model, not a curated record. The transcript has 3 exons. NCBI's taxonomy places the organism in Eukaryota, Metazoa, Chordata, Actinopteri, Acipenseriformes, Acipenseridae.